Molecule: long non-coding RNA, 9058 nt
Filed under: Ananas comosus (pineapple)
Lineage: Eukaryota; Viridiplantae; Streptophyta; Magnoliopsida; Poales; Bromeliaceae
Description: long non-coding RNA (ACOM_LNC022700)
Source: RNAcentral
UGUUUUUAUCUCUCGAAGCAUGCAUGUUGGCAUACUGCGGAGGGGGAACAUGUUUGAAGAGAUCAGAAUUCGACCACAAGUGCGAAUGCAAGAAAGGCUACAGCAAUCUUUUGAACAUCAACGCACUCCCUUGUUACAGAGACUGUAAGAAGAUCAAACACUAUUUACUUUUCUCAAUAGAAGAGGUCGUCAUCUUACCAAUACAAACUGAUAUUAUGAAGAAACUUUUUUAAGUAACUAGGCAAAAUGUUGCAGGUUCUUUAGGUGCAGAUUGCGCGAACCUGGGAAUCACACUGCCGAACUCUUCCUCUCCACCUUCGCCGUCUAGUCUAUCCGAUAGCACCAACUCGCUUGCAGGAGGUAGUAAACCCAACUGCAACUGAAUAAAUUGUUGUAAAUUCAGCUUUAUAUGGUAGCAUGAUGAAAUACUAGUUCAUGUGUUUCCCCACAACAGGAGCUGUUUCGCCGAAUUAUCUGGUGGCGUUGCUUGUAUUUGCAUCGAUCGUCAUGGUUCGAGCGACAUAGCGGGAGGAGAUUGAAUGGAGCCCGAACUUGAGAUUCUUCUAUAGGGAUACAGUUGCUAGCUAGUUACAUGUUGCACAGAGCGAUGAGUCACACUUUCUUUGUUUCAGCUUUUCUGUUUCUUGUGCUUAAAUAACAGAACACUGUGUAGUGAGUUUGUAGGAUCUUGCUUUUCUGUUCUUUGUGUAUGUAUUUGAAUACUUACUGGAGACUUUAUUUAGUUUUAUGAAGGAUUUAGCAUGCUUAUCGAUAUUUUUAUGAUGUUAAAAGAUAAGAUAUAUUCAAUACUCUUUUAAGCUAACUCGAAGAAACUAUCAUCUACAUAAACAAAGAUCAUUCUGAAACUAAUGGCAGGGAUUUUAAUCUUUGAAAGCUGCACAGAGAGAGAGAGAGAGAGAGAGAGAGAGAGAGAGAGAGAGAGAGAGAGAUGUGGGAAAGGGUUAUCAGGGGAUGAAUAAUAACUGAGAUAAGCAAAACACCAUAGCCUUGGCCAAAAUGGAGGAAACUAGUAACAGAUCCAUUAUGGAGAUGAAAAAGUGAGAGUAAAGAGGUCCGGUGCGCAUGCGCGAUUACCAUGCUAAGAGCAAUUUACUUAAAAGCCAACCUCUGAAUAGCUUUUCUAUUUCAAAGCCCGAACAAAUUCCAUAUACCAUGGACUGUUCCUUUAGCUGCAUAGUUACAACACUGUCGAGCUCAUUACGACCACAACAAGCUCAGGUAUGUUGCUAGAUCCAAAUCUAACUAAAGCAAAUGCCCUCGAAAGGCUAGAAAGCGACUAAGCAGGCGUUGGUCACUGCACAGAAGAGAAAGUGAGUGUUGCCAUGAAAAGGUUGAUGACAUCCAGGUACAGGGAUAUUGCAGCUUCAAUGUACUCGCUGUACUGGUGUCGCUUGAUCAACCGGUCGGUAUCGUACACAAUAAAGCCGGAGAAAAUGAGAGUGGCCACACACCCGUAGAUGGUCGACCCGAUCCUACCCAAUGGGAAGCAAACCUAAAUAGAUUCACCGAAUUUUGAAUAGUGAGGAAAGGUCUUCCUAUUAAGAAGAAACAGCACAGGAAGAAGGUACAACAAAUAUACCUGCAUGAUGGCGUACACAAUCAACACCAGAAGGCAAGCAAACAAGAAAGGGUAGAGGAUGGCAAAGUCAUGACCUCUCCUGGCGGCCCAGAAUGUGUAGAGGGUGAGACCGACCACAACUGAAGCUGUGAGUACUGCAGCUUGGAGGACAACUUUGCCUGUCACAAUUAAACAAGAGGAAAAACUAUAACACAUCAAUCUGACUAUCCGAUAACAUCUGAUAACGCUCCUACGGACUGUUCGCUUAAAAAGUUUUGUAACAGGUUCCAUGCACAAGGCAAUUGAUUGGUAUGAAUUUCAUAUUUAUCAGUCCAGUAUUGCACGAGUGUUCUGAACCUUGUCCAACUUGAUGUAGUGCCAAAAUUAACUCGAUGGAUCAGAUUUCUUGAGAUUUUUUGGAUAGAUGAGAGGUCGAAAUAUGAACAAGGUUACAUAGGUUCCACAAGGUUACAAAGGUUCAAUGCCUACUUAAACAAGAAGCGUUAGAUUGGCAUUCUGAAACUCCACUAUUGUCUCUAGAAGGAAAAACAGUAUUACGUCGAAAACUCAAUAUGCAGAGAGCCAUAGUGAUGGAGUAUAACAUUAUAACAGCAAAGUAAAAACACUCAAGUUUGUAAACUGAACGUUGAAAUUAUUGCCAGCCUGGUGACUAGGAAUCUCUAGAAUAUUUAUUCCAGCACAAUCUUCUAUUUUGAUUUUACCAUAUACUCCAUAUUCCAACAACAAAAUCACCAGCGAAUAAGUUAUGAAAUGAACUUAUUAAAUAUCUGUUUCUUUAAACUGUAGAUUAAUUUUAAUUAUUAUUAAAUAUUUGUUUCUCUCUUCCGCCAUCCUUGAGGCCCUGAUGCCUCACCUAUGUAGUUUAAUUCAAUUUCUGAAUGAAUGAAGCGGGUAGCGUGCUACCUUUUUCUCAAAAAAAAAAAAAAAUCAUACAAGUUUCUUAUUGCAGGUUCUCCAGCGAAUAAGUUAUGAAAUGAACUGCAUAGUUGGUCAACUAAAUCUUUCCGACAGUUGUUUCAAGCAUCUCAACAGCAUUAAAAUACUAGACAAAUAGGCAGGAUUCGACGCAUGUUUUCAUACGUGAUAGAUAACUUCUACACAAAGUUUGUAAUUUAAAAUCAGCAACCCAUCUCCUAGUACCCAAAACGCUUUAAAGUACUCUUGUUUAAGGGUAUUGUUCAAAUAAUGCUCAAGAAACUAAAGAUGAGAAGCGAAUAAGGGCAAAUGAAGCAGAACAUUUUCUAAGAAUUUAUUAUCAUUUUCAUAAUUGAAAGUGACGAAUUUGUCCUCUCUAUCUAUGUAAUAGAACAGGAAAAGAUUAGCGUUUUUUCUUUGUUUUUUUUUUUUUUUGUUCAUACCGCUCACGGUAACACACGCCAAUCCCACGGCCAAGCUUAUGCAGAACGUGAACACCGCAAGGAGAACCAAAUUGAUCGGAUGGCGCUCUCUGUAUCGCAGCAUCGGCCACAGCGCUGCAAUCGCCAUCCAAACAAGAGUGAGUGUCGGAAACCCCAAUUCGCCCCCCGAAGAAAAAGCGAGGAAACGCCGGAAAUAUGUGCUCACCUAGGAACGGCGAGAGGAGCACGGCGACGAAGACGGUCCACGAGGCCGCGGUGUUGGAGAGGAUGAAGGCGGGCACCGGGCGCACGUAGGAGACCGCGGCGGCGACGCCGGAGGUGAAGACGAACUGGGCGGCGAGGAUCGCGUACACCUUGCGGAUGAACCCCCAACGGAGCCUCGGAUCCUCCGUCAUCUUCGGGUACAGUACGGCGUCUGCGGCGGCUCCCUUGCCGGCGGAGGCUGGGCCCCCGNUGUUGGAGAGGAUGAAGGCGGGCACCGGGCGCACGUAGGAGACCGCGGCGGCGACGCCGGAGGUGAAGACGAACUGGGCGGCGAGGAUCGCGUACACCUUGCGGAUGAACCCCCAACGGAGCCUCGGAUCCUCCGUCAUCUUCGGGUACAGUACGGCGUCUGCGGCGGCUCCCUUGCCGGCGGAGGCUGGGCCCCCGCCGCCGCCGCCGGCCCCAGCCUCGAGGUCGCCGCCUUUCUCCUUGAUCUCCGGCUCCUGGGCCUUCGACAUCGCUGCAGAGGGGGUCUCUAGGGCUUGUUGGGAGAGGCGACGAGGUGAAAAUUGUGCGGUUUCUAUAAAGGAGAAAGGGAGCCCGAAGGGGAAAGAGGGGAGAGGGGAGAGGAAAGGGAAGCGCCGGAAAUGGAAAAAGGAAAACUAGGGUUAGAGUUAGUGUUAGGGUUCGAGUUGGGGUUACUUCUUUUAGGGUUUGUAAGAGGAAGAUGAAGAGGAAGAGAGCGGAGAGAAUGGGACUACGACGGACACGUAAAGGGAAAGUGGUGGGUACGCGUAGGAUCCCGUUCUCGUGAUGGGCACGCUCUACUAUACUUCCCACGUAAUGACGGUUGAGGGAGGACAUUUUUGCGUGCACCUAGUGCAUGCAUCUUUGACUCCCCGUGCACCUUUUUAAUUAAUAUCAUCCUCUAUUCCAUCCCCUCUAUAACACAACUUUUACUACAUUACUUCAGUGUUUUUUUUUUUUUUUCGAUUUGCAAACAUAAAUCUCAACAAAGGAGUCAUAUUUUUAUGUCCUUCUUUAUAAUUUUCUUUUGUUACCCAUGUUUCUUUAUAAUUUUUUUAUAUCACUCGUGUAUUUAUUUUAAAUUACUAUUUCAAAUAUUAAUAAUUUUUUUUUUUACCGAUUCUUUCUUAAACUAGUUUAUAAUUAUGUUUGAAUUGAAUUUUGAUCAAAAUUUUAGCAACAAACUAAAGUUAAUUUAAACUUAUAAUAUAUUUUACUGUGUUUAGAUCAAAAUAAAAUAAAUAUAAGCUUGACAGAAGUAGUAAAAUAAUUAAAUUAGAAAAAAUAUUAUUACUAUUUGAAACCAUCGACAUUAAUAACUUAAUAUAAAUUACUUAAGCGCAGUUAUUAAUUUUAGUGUGGUUGUUACAUAGAACUAGAAGCCCACAGGACUCUCCAGCAUUAUUUAUCUAAUAUAAAAUUAUUGAGAUGUGGCAACUAUCAUAUAUAGAAAAUAAAGAUUAAAAUAUAGGGAUGAAAUAAAUAUUCGUUCCAGUGUGGUGUUGUGUGCAGUUAUGCACCGGGUGUACGCAAUUGCCCUCGCGGGUUGGAUAGCUUUGUCCAAUGUCCACCAUCGCUUCAGAUAGCGUUGACCGGUGGGGGACCGACCGAGGACUUGGAAUCAUUAUGUGACAAAAAUUUUGCAUAUUAGUCCCUUCAAUAUUCUACGUAUUGCGUGUACGUACAUGAUGGGAUUUGGACUUUUGACUGAGUUGACUCCCGGUUUUAAUUAAUUAAUCAAUAGAUUAUAUGCGAUUAACUUUUCUAAUUUAAAACUAGAUUUUGUGAGUGCCCGUGUAUGACCAAAUUCUAGAACAACUUAAAAGUUUAAUUUGAUAAACAAAAUAUCUAAACAUUCUUGUUCAAUUAGUAAGCGAAGCGUGAAUGUGUCAUUUUUGUUUUGUAUUUGAACCUCUUGACCUAACAAGCUGUUUGAUUUUUUAAUUUUAGCCAUAAUAUUUGUAAAAAGUAAUAUAAUAUAUAUUCUGUAGAAAAGCAAAUGAUGUAAGCUUUAAGAUGUUAUAGAUUAAAUUUUGUAAACCUCACGAAGAUCUUUUCAACUGUCGUGUAGCUGUAAACUUCAUAUUCCUCCAUUUUUGCCAAAUAAAAACCACAUAAAUAAAGUUGGGAAGCAAGUUUCUUUUUUUCACAAUGAUAUUAUAGUGUUCCUCAAAAGCACAAUAUUAUUAUAGCGAGUGGCUAAAAAUAAAGAAAACCGCCUUAAGAAAUGUGUGCUUCUUUUGUUGAAUAAAUCUCCCGCUUAAAAAAGGAGAACACACGUAGGGAAAAUUUAACUUCCCAAUAUGUUAAUUUUUUUUACUUUUUUUCUUUUAGAGAAAGAUAUCAUACUACCACUUUAUUCAUUUGGGUUAUGAACUAGACUAGUUUGAAUCAACUAGGCCUCUAAAAAAAAAAAAUCGAACAUUGCUACUUGAUACAAUACUAAUUCCACAUAUAUUUUAAAUUACGCGACUCUGUCAACAAUUGCCUCCAAAUAUGUUUUCUUUUUUCAAAAAAAUUUUUGUUACGCUCCAACCAAAUAACCAACCAUGACGAGGGAAUGGUCAUUAACUCCAUUUUCCCUAAGGUUCCUUCUUUGAGUUCUUUAAUUCUUUUUACUCAUUAUACAAAAGUUAAGAAAUUAAUUGCCCACCCACACUUUCCAAGUAUGUAAAAUGGUUACUACAAAAUAAGUAUUACUUAACCUGCUUCACACGUCAAACUUAGUUUUCACAAGAAAAGAAAACGCGGUAUGGUUGAAUCAACUUGAUGAUAUUAAUUGUGGGGUCCAUUAAAAUUUGGUUAACAAAUUGGGCAACUUGUACCGGAGAAAUCACAAGGAAAGUGCUCGAUCAGAGAGGUUCUUUUCUUUCUUUUCUCAGUCCUUUAAUUUGUUUUCUUAUUAAUUAUAGGUUGCUUGCUUUGAUAUCUAGCAUAGUAGCAUGUGAGCUGUUUGAGCUUAUAUAGAGUACACAAACAGCUACAUGUUCGAUCAUUGUUCAUAUGAACAUUAGCUUCAUGUAAAAUUUCUCUCAAAAAAAAAAACAUUAGCUUCAUGUACCGACCCUCCCUAAAGCAAAUGACAAAGGAUUUGAUACGUAGUUGAUAUCCGAGAUCCCAAAUUAGAAUCCCGAUUGAUUCACAUUUUCAACUAAAUUUAUUUCUAAAUGAAAUAAACGAAACAGGUAGCGUGCUAUCUAUUUCUCAAAAAAAAAAAAAAAAAAAAAAAAAAAAAAAAAAAAAAACAUUAGCUUCAUGUUUACGGAAACAUGGUUUUUGUCCAUUAGAGCAGCGAGAAUGAUCAGGGUGCAAGGAAAUUAAAUAAAACAUUCAUUACCUGGGAAGAGGAAAUAGUAGUAGAAACCCUGGUAAUUUUACAAAGGAUGCGUCUCGGAUCAUACAUUUCUUUCAAAAAUAAGGUGCAUCUAAUUAAGGCCACAGUUUUUACAAGAAACAGGGAAUAGUGUGCGCAUUAUUAAGUCGACAUGCUGUAAUAUGAUUCAAAGAACAACUUCCAUUUUAACCCCCCCUCUCUAGCUUCAUAUGUAGACGCACAUGAUCGAGCACGCAUCCCAAUUAACAAGUCUUAGUCAAAGAGCAACCAAAAUAACAGUAACAUAUAUAGGAUCAAUUGCCUAAUUAAGAUCAAGAUCAUGCUAUCCCUUACUACCUUUAAGCAUUAAUUACGAUUGUUGCUGAACUUAUCAUAGUAAUUAUUCAAUCGCAUUUAUAUAUAUACCUGGAUGAGUAGAUAAACCAUCAGAAUCAUGACACCAGCAAACAAGAAAGGACCGAGAAAGCGGAAGUCGUAGCCUCUCCUCGCCCCCCAAGAAUGUGUAGAGCGUCAGACUCACCACCACCACAGCCGUCAGCAUUACUGACUCGAAAUUAACCUUACCUGAUGUGCAGAAAGUUGACCGGAAGAAAAAAUUAUUUUAAAAAAAAAAUUAAAAAGAAGAAUGAUGAUAUUUUUAAUUUUUUGCGAAAAAUGUUACCGCUGGUAAAGGCGCAGGUCAAUCCAACUGCUAAGCUGAUGGAGAGAGUAAAAGUGCCGAGGAGGAUGAGAUUCACCGGAUGAUGCUGGUAGUAGUAGUACGUAGUAGUAGUAGAGAUCGAGGGAGCAACACUGCGCCGAACCGAAAUGAAAUUAAACAAAAAGUUAACUAAUUAGGAACUAGAAUCAAUUAUCAUCAAACACCAGAAAUUAACAAUUAGCUUGAUCGUCCUAAUUUUAAAAUCUGGCCCUCAAACUGUCAAGGUAUGUGCAAAUUGCAAUUUUCAAACUAACUUUCGAAUCCUGGCGAUCACAUUCGCACUAGCAUGUUAGUAGUUUAGUACAUGAAUAGGUCCAAAAGAAUUACCAAUUUUUUUAAUAAUAGUAGAAAACGUGACAACGUAAUAAUAUAAAAAACUAAGCAACCAGUGAACAAGGUCCUAAAUUGGCCGGGCCAGGCUUGGAUCCAGUGAUGUGGGCCCUUCACAAUUCAUCAAACAGAGCGGGAGCUAAGGCCCUGUUUAGCCCAUCUCGACUAUAAAAAUUGGGCCGGCCCAAUGAACAAAAGUUAGGACGAAUUCAUCUCUCUAUUGUUUUUUUUUUAUAUAAAUACAUUAACAUUAGACGAGUUGAAAAGGCUCACCAAAUCAGACGAGACCAUUGGAUUAUGGGCCUUGCAACAGGUAUAAAAAGCGAGCCUCGUAAUCCAACAAUCCGGGCUAAUUCAACUAGCCUAUUUAGCUCACCGUAUCGAACACGGGAGGGCAAAAUUAACAUCCUAUCUUGUUGCCUAUAUAAUAAAUCUCUACCACUCCACAAGGAAAGGCCACAGAGUAGACACAACCCCUCCGACGCUUUUUAAGAUAACACUCCCAAAUGCAUAAACCCCAUAAACCCCUUUUAAGUAACCAGAGAACACGGAGAGAAAAUUAGAUUAAAAAAAAACAGAGCAUGGAAUCCACGAGCAGCAGUAUCUUUAAAUUCGGCAGGCACGGCGUUAAGCUCUUCCGUGUGGAAUCUAAUGCCGCGGCGAGCUCUGCCGACUCCUACACACCACCUCCGAAGCCUCUGUUGAUUGCUUCGCCAUGCGACGAAGGGGAUUACGCUGUCGUGUUGUUCCUCCACGGAUACCUUCUUUAUAAUUCCUUCUAUUCUCAGCUGUUCCAGCAUGUAGCUUCUCACGGCUUUGUUGUUAUCGGCCCCCAGGUUAGUUUUCUUUAAAUCGUUGCGUAAAUAAAUUGAGCUCUAAUUUCAAGGUCGCCGAUGAUCGACCGACUUAAUUUUUUAUUAAUUAUACUUAACGUUUCAAUGGUGUACUUGAGAUGCUUCAGAAUAUAUACAUCCGAAAUAUUCUGGGGAUAACCCAUACUGGUUUAUUUGAAUAUAUGAUUAUCUUGUUCGGCAAAUCAAUUUUGUUUGCGCACACAAAAGUAUGUUAUAGCAUCGAGUACGGAAAGAUGCCUAUGUACAAUUUCUAAACCGUAAUUUUUUAAAAAGAGUUAACUUCGUACUCAAGUAAAUUCCUACAAAGUUUAAUGGUCUAAUUUAUCACUCUGAAUUUUACGAUUUACAAAUAUAUCACUCCGAAAGAAGAUCUGAUAAGCUCAAAUUUGUUCCUACCGUUAAUUUUUGUAAUGGUGUAUGCGUGGAGGAAUUCUACACUGUCACACUUGCACCACGUCAUCAAUAACAAGCCAAUCACAUUUCUUCUUUUUAAACAAAAGUAAAAUAAAAAUAUUUUUUUACAAUCAUGAUGGGACAUAUAUUCUUAAAAGGAUUAAUUUGAUUGGUUUGUUACGCCACGUCACUAAUAUAUCCGUUGCAUUCUAGAAUUUUUCGUAUGUGUGAUGUAAUCCAUCGUCCUUAUAGAUUUGU